GUAUAUAUAAAGCAUUAUAAAAUUUUGUAUAUAUAUAUAUAUAUAUAUAUAUAUAAAUUAUUAUAAAUAAAUAUAUUAAAUUAUAUUAUAUUAUAUAUAAUAAUAAAUAAAUAUUAUAAUGGUUUUAAGGUUAAUUAAAUAAAUA
This 145-nucleotide ribosomal RNA is filed under the name Naumovozyma dairenensis. Its description in RNAcentral is "partial small subunit ribosomal RNA". Lineage: Eukaryota; Fungi; Ascomycota; Saccharomycetes; Saccharomycetales; Saccharomycetaceae. The record is from RNAcentral.